GGGGCAGCCUGACAAUUGGUAUGGGGUCGAGCACUGCACAGAGCUCUUAGCUUAUCGAGGGUAUCAGGAAUGGAACGCUGAUAACUGUAGAAACAAAAACUCCUUCAUCUGCAAGUACCAGCUCUAAGCAGGAGGUACACCAGCUCCUGGGACGUGAGCACUUUGCGUCCAGCAGCUCUUCAAGGAGACCUGUCCUGCAAACCCACCUGCUGUGCCCCCUCCCCACACUGCUGUGCCCAUCCAUGCCAGCCCCGCUCUCCUUUGCCUUCUCUCGCUCUGCUGGGUUUCCGUGUCUCCCCUCCCAUCCUCUGCAUGAUCCCAGCACAGGGCAGUGAUAAUAAACUUCCCCUUGGCAUUCA
Long non-coding RNA from Alligator sinensis (Chinese alligator), 359 nucleotides. RefSeq lists it as uncharacterized. NCBI's taxonomy places the organism in Eukaryota, Metazoa, Chordata, Crocodylia, Alligatoridae. The record is from RefSeq and is a predicted model, not a curated record. The transcript is spliced from 3 exons.